AGCAUAUCAAUAAGCGGAGGAAAAGAAACUAACAAGGAUUCCCCUAGUAACUGCGAGUGAAGCGGGAAAAGCUCAAAUUUAAAAUCUGGCGGUCUUCGGCCGUCCGAGUUGUAGUCUGGAGAAGUGCUUUCCGCGCUGGACCGUGUACAAGUCUCUUGGAACAGAGCGUCAUAGAGGGUGAGAAUCCCGUCUUUGACACGGACUACCAGUGCUUUGUGAUGCGCUCUCAAAGAGUCGAGUUGUUUGGGAAUGCAGCUCAAAAUGGGUGGUAAAUUCCAUCUAAAGCUAAAUAUUGGCGAGAGACCGAUAGCGAACAAGUACCGUGAGGGAAAGAUGAAAAGCACUUUGGAAAGAGAGUUAAACAGUACGUGAAAUUGCUGAAAGGGAAACGAUUGAAGUCAGUCGCGUUAGCCAGGACUCAGCCUUGUUUUUACUUGGUGCAUUUUCUGGUUGACGGGCCAGCAUCGAUUUUGACCGCCGGAAAAAGAUUGGGGGAAUGUGGCACCUUCGGGUGUGUUAUAGCCCUCAGUCACAUACGGCGAUUGGGAUCGAGGACCGCAGCACGCCUUUAUGGCCGGGGUUCGCCCACGUUCGUGCUUAGGAUGCUGGCGUAAUGGCUUUAAACGACCCGUCUUGAAACACGGACCAAGGAGUCUAACAUGCCUGCGAGUGUUUGGGUGGAAAACCCGAGCGCGUAAUGAAAGUGAAAGUUGAGAUCCCUGUCGCGGGGAGCAUCGACGCCCGGACUUGAACUUCGGUGAUAGAUCUGCGGUAGAGCAUGUAUGUUGGGACCCGAAAGAUGGUGAACUAUGCCUGAAUAGGGUGAAGCCAGAGGAAACUCUGGUGGAGGCUCGUAGCGAUUCUGACGUGCAAAUCGAUCGUCAAAUUUGGGUAUAGGGGCGAAAGACUAAUCGAACCAUCUAGUAGCUGGU
RNAcentral lists this ribosomal RNA (932 nucleotides) under Fomitopsis serialis. RNAcentral describes it as "LSU rRNA". It matches the Rfam family "Eukaryotic large subunit ribosomal RNA", at positions 37 to 955 of the family's 3401-position model. Lineage: Eukaryota; Fungi; Basidiomycota; Agaricomycetes; Polyporales; Fomitopsidaceae. The record is from RNAcentral.